This 274-nucleotide ribosomal RNA is filed under the name uncultured bacterium. RNAcentral describes it as "partial 16S ribosomal RNA". It matches the Rfam family "Bacterial small subunit ribosomal RNA", at positions 523 to 796 of the family's 1533-position model. The record is from RNAcentral.
AUACGGAGGGAGCAAGCGUUAUUCGGAAUCACUGGGCGUAAAGGACGCGUAGGCGGGUUUGUAAGUCAGGUGUGAAAUCCUACAGCUCAGCUGUAGAACUGCACUUGAAACUACAGACCUAGAGUAUGGAAGGGGCGGAUGGAAUUAGUGGUGUAGGGGUAAAAUCCGUAGAUAUCACUAGGAAUACCGAAAGCGAAGGCGAUCUGCUGGGACAUUACUGACGCUGAGGCGUGAAAGCGUGGGGAGCAAACAGGAUUAGAAACCCCAGUAGUCC